GAUGAACGCUGGCGGCGUGCCUAAUACAUGCAAGUCGAGCGAAUGGAUUAAGAGCUUGCUCUUAUGAAGUUAGCGGCGGACGGGUGAGUAACACGUGGAUAACCUGCCCAUAAGACUGGGAUAACUCCGGGAAACCGGGGCUAAUACCGGAUAACAUUUUGAACCGCAUGGUUCGAAAUUGAAAGGCGGCUUCGGCUGUCACUUAUGGAUGGACCCGCGUCGCAUUAGCUAGUUGGUGAGGUAACGGCUCACCAAGGCAACGAUGCGUAGCCGACCUGAGAGGGUGAUCGGCCACACUGGGACUGAGACACGGCCCAGACUCCUACGGGAGGCAGCAGUAGGGAAUCUUCCGCAAUGGACGAAAGUCUGACGGAGCAACGCCGCGUGAGUGAUGAAGGCUUUCGGUCGUAAAACUCUGUUGUUAGGGAAGAGCAAGUGCUAGUUGAAUAAGCUGGCACCUUGACGGUACCUAACCAGAAAGCCACGGCUAACUACGUGCCAGCCGCCGCGGUAA
This 514-nucleotide ribosomal RNA is filed under the name uncultured bacterium. RNAcentral's name for it is "partial 16S ribosomal RNA". It matches the Rfam family "Bacterial small subunit ribosomal RNA", at positions 28 to 523 of the family's 1533-position model. The record is from RNAcentral.